GACGAACGCUGGCGGCGUGCUUAACACAUGCAAGUCGAACGCUGAAGACCUGGCCUUUGUUCGGUUGGGUGAGUGGCGAACGGGUGAGUAACACGUGAGUAACCUGCCCUCUUCUCUGGGAUAACGUCCGGAAACCGGUGCUAAUACUGGAUAUUCAUUGAACUCCGAAUGUGCGAUGGUGGAAAGGUUUGUUCCGGUGGCGGAUGGGCUCGCGGGCUAUGCGCUUGUUGGUGGGGAUAUGGCCUACCAAGGCUUUGAAGGGUGGCCGGCCUGAGGGGGAGACCGGUCACAUUGGCACUGACAUACGGCCCAGACUGCUACGGGAGGCAGCAGUGGGGAAUAUUGCACAAUGGGCGAAAGCCUGAUGCAGCGACGCCGCGUGAGGGAUGGAGGCCUUCGGGUUGUAAACCUCUUUCGCUCAUGGUCAAGCCGCAACUGUGGGUUGUGGUGAGGUUAGUGAGUAAAGAAGCGCCGGCUAACUACGUG
RNAcentral lists this ribosomal RNA (486 nucleotides) under uncultured bacterium. RNAcentral describes it as "partial 16S ribosomal RNA". It matches the Rfam family "Bacterial small subunit ribosomal RNA", at positions 28 to 507 of the family's 1533-position model. The record is from RNAcentral.